CCAGACACUAAGCUUUGGAGACAAAGAAAAUAGGAAGGAACAUGGAAAGUCAAAUCUUGUGGCCAUCUAGCACGGAAAAAUUCAAGUACCUGUUCCCAAAGAAGAAUCGAUCAAGGGAUUAACUCUAAAAUAUCCUGGUUAGUUAAAUUAUACCCCCCUUCAUCAUCCCAUAAAAUCAUUCCUUUCUUUUUUUUUCUUUUUUAUAGUGAAAUAUUCGAAAUGCAGAAAAUCUGGUGUCCAGUAGAAAACAACUGCAGCUAGAGGGCAAAGUGGAUAGAAGGCUGGACUUGGAGUCAAGGAAAUCUGAGUUCUAAUCCAUCCUCAGUUCUGGUGAAAAUGUGAUCCCAGCAUCUAUCAUCUAGAGUACCUCCUGAGUGGAAAAGGGAUUAAGCUUUGAACUAAUUGGUGAUGUGUAUAGCUAAACAGAUGACCAGCCCUGGAGCAGAGAAGCCACUUUCCCCAGCAUGUUGGCAGAGAUCUGAAAAAACAGAGCAAAAGGAAUGGAAUCUCUCAUGCAAUCAUUUUCCUGCCUUGGGCUUAUAUUGGAGCAACCUCCUUUUACAAGCUUCAAUGACUUUGGUUCACUGGGUCUUGGUUUUGAGCUCCAUGCCUUCUGCUACCUCAACAACAGCCCUAAAAAGAACCCUCCAAGUAAAAGCAGAAGAACAGAUGCCUGGAGAAACCAUCAUUGCCCCUAAUUGGGGCCUUGACUCGAGAUCUCUGGUGCUGAGAGAGGAGACCUUUGUCCUGCUUCCCUCACCUCGGUGUCUGGUGGCAUGUCUGUCUUCUGUCCUGGAUACUGCAUGUCUGUCCCCAACCCCGGCCCCAAGUGUUCUUCCUUCUGGUUCUCAACGCUCUGCACUUUGUGUCCUUGAACUAAGUGCCUGCAAAUUCACAUUAUGUAAAAAUGGCUUUACUUGUUAUGGGCCAUUUAUGUAAAGUAAGAACGGUCUGUGUUUGUAUCCCUGGUGCUUCAAAGAGUGCCUGGCACAUAGUAAGGGAUUAAUAAAUGCUUAUUG
This 1019-nucleotide long non-coding RNA is filed under the name Monodelphis domestica (gray short-tailed opossum). RNAcentral's name for it is "lncRNA (ENSMODG00000031522.2)". The record is from RNAcentral. Lineage: Eukaryota; Metazoa; Chordata; Mammalia; Didelphimorphia; Didelphidae.